RNAcentral lists this ribosomal RNA (475 nucleotides) under uncultured bacterium. Its description in RNAcentral is "bacterial SSU rRNA". It matches the Rfam family "Bacterial small subunit ribosomal RNA", at positions 35 to 507 of the family's 1533-position model. The record is from RNAcentral.
GACGACGGCUGGCGGCGUGCCUAACACAUGCAAGUCGAGCGGGGUUGAAGCGAGGGGUAACUCGAGUUUCUACCUAGCGGCGGACGGGUGAGUAACGCGUGGGCAACCUGCCUCAAGGACUGGGAUAACAGCUCGAAAGGGCUGCUAAUACCGGAUAAGCCUAUGGCCUCGCAUGGGGCCAUGAGCAAAGGGGAAACCCGCCUUGAGAUGGGCCCGCGUCCCAUCAGCUAGUUGGUGAGGUGAAGGCUCACCAAGGCGACGACGGGUAGCCGGCCUGAGAGGGUGACCGGCCACACUGGGACUGAGACACGGCCCAGACUCCUACGGGGGGCAGCAGUGGGGAAUCUUGCACAAUGGGCGAAAGCCUGAUGCAGCGACGCCGCGUGAGCGAAGAAGGCCUUCGGGUUGUAAAGCUCUGUCUGGAGGGACGAAGGAAGUGACGGUACCUCCGGAGGAAGCCACGGCUAACUACGUG